RNAcentral lists this ribosomal RNA (253 nucleotides) under uncultured bacterium. RNAcentral's name for it is "partial 16S ribosomal RNA". It matches the Rfam family "Bacterial small subunit ribosomal RNA", at positions 524 to 776 of the family's 1533-position model. The record is from RNAcentral.
UACGUAGGGAGCAAGCGUUGUCCGGAAUCAUUGGGCGUAAAGCGCGCGUAGGCGGCCCGAUAAGUCCGCUGUAGAAGUCAACGGCUCAACUGUUGAAAGCCGGUGGAUACUGUCGGGCUAGAGUACGGAAGAGGCAAGUGGAAUUCCUGGUGUAGCGGUGGAAUGCGCAGAUAUCAGGAGGAACACCGGUGGCGAAGGCGGGAUCCUGGGCCAGUACUGACGCUGAGGAGCGAAAGCGUGGGGAGCAAACAGG